Molecule: ribosomal RNA, 301 nt
Filed under: uncultured bacterium
Lineage: Bacteria
Description: partial 16S ribosomal RNA
Rfam family: Archaeal small subunit ribosomal RNA
Source: RNAcentral
CAGUAGCCGCGGGAAAACCAGCACCUCGAGUGGUCAGGAGGUCUAUUGGGCCUAAAGGAUCCGUAGCCGGUUGCAUAAGUUUUCGGUUAAAUCUAUGCGCUUAACGUAUAGGCCGCCGAAAAUACUGUGCAGCUAGGGAGUGGGAGAGGUACACGGUACUCGAUAGGAAGGGGUAAAAUCCUUUGAUCUAUUGAUGACCACCUGUGGCGAAGGCGGUGUACCAGAACACGUUCGACGGUGAGGGAUGAAAGCUGGGGGAGCAAACCGGAUUAGAUACCCGCGUAGUCCCUGUCUCUUAUAC